GCACAACUCCAAACGGUGGAUCACUCGGUUCUCGGGUCGAUGAAGGACGCAGCUAGCUGCGUUAAGUGGUGUGAAUUGCAGGACACUUUGAGCACUGAAGUUCCGAAUGGACAUUCCGGGCUCGAGAGUAACGUCUGGGGCCCGUGUCCGUCCGAGGGCCGGCUU
This 165-nucleotide ribosomal RNA is filed under the name Calocheiridius cf. termitophilus JM-2004. RNAcentral describes it as "5.8S ribosomal RNA". It matches the Rfam family "5.8S ribosomal RNA". Rfam says of the family: 5.8S ribosomal RNA (5.8S rRNA) is a component of the large subunit of the eukaryotic ribosome. The record is from RNAcentral. Lineage: Eukaryota; Metazoa; Arthropoda; Arachnida; Pseudoscorpiones; Olpiidae.